RNAcentral lists this ribosomal RNA (389 nucleotides) under uncultured bacterium. RNAcentral's name for it is "bacterial SSU rRNA". It matches the Rfam family "Bacterial small subunit ribosomal RNA", at positions 28 to 416 of the family's 1533-position model. The record is from RNAcentral.
GACGAACGCUGGCGGCGUGCUUAACACAUGCAAGUCGAGCGGUAAGGCCCUUUCGGGGUACGACGAGCGGCGAACGGGUGAGUAACACGUGGGUGACCUGCCCUCAGCUCUGGGAUAAGCCUGGGAAACUGGGUCUAAUACUGGAUAUGACUCCACGGUGCAUGUCGUGGGGUGGAAAGCCUUGUGCGGCUGAGGAUGGGCCCGCGGCCUAGCAGCUUGUUGGUGGGGUGAUGGCCUACCAAGGCGACGACGGGUAGCCGGCCUGAGAGGGCGACCGGCCACACUGGGACUGAGACACGGCCCAGACUCCUACGGGAGGGCAGCAGUGGGGAAGUCUUGCGCAAUGGGCGAAAGCCUGACGCAGCGACGCCGCGUGAGGGAUGACGGCC